Long non-coding RNA from Capra hircus (goat), 1696 nucleotides. RefSeq lists it as uncharacterized. NCBI's taxonomy places the organism in Eukaryota, Metazoa, Chordata, Mammalia, Artiodactyla, Bovidae. The record is from RefSeq and is a predicted model, not a curated record. The transcript is spliced from 3 exons.
CCCAGGGAGUCUUGGCUUCCCCAGCGGUCUCCCGGUCCCGCUCCCGGUCACCUUAGCGUGCCAGUUCUCCCCUCGAGCCGGAGAACGGGAAUGCCUGAGGGGCGUGCAGCAAGGGCGCCGGAGGGCGCAGGGGCUCCGAGCUCCCCGGCCCCCACCUCCCUGGACUACAGCGAGCCGUGGGGGAGGAGAGAUGGGGAAAGCCUGAACUGCCGAGAGGGAAAGGGUCAGAUGAGAAGCGGAGAGGCCGGGCGGAAGGCGGCCGAGGCAGAAUUGGGAAGGGGUGUUCGAGGUCCUACCUGCUCAGGAUGGAGCGCCCCCUCUCCCUGCUCCACCUCCGCGCAAAAGCACCAGCCUGGCUGCCUCCAGAUCAGAACUGUCCUCAAGAUGGAGGGGAAGGCGGCGUCUUACUCCAUCAUGGAUCUGUUCACUCAACAACUGUUAAUGGAAUACGCCCCCGCCAGGUCUCAGGCACUGAACUAAGUGCCGGGGACAGAUACAAAUAUUAAAAAAGCUCUCCACCUCGGUUCUCUGUUUUGGUCUCUCUCAGUAGUCAAGGUAACCUCUCCACAGAUAUUUUUAAAAAGCCCCAAGUUGUAUCUCCUUCCUACUUCUCAGUUUUUAUUGGUGUAUCUUAAAAGGGCGCAAUGAGGGGGAAGAAGGAAAGAGCUCUGCCAACUUUGGAUCUCUGGGCAGCUUGGACCUCACACCCUCUUGCCAGUCAUCCAGCCACAGGCAGGUCUCCCCUGAGCCAGAAUUGUCAGUUGCAGCUCCGGGGUUGAAACUCAAACCAGUUUUAUUGUGUCUCUGUGCGUUCCAUGGCAAUACCCACUGACACUCUAUGGAAGCUUCCUCUGCCUCUGUGAAGAAAUAAACAAACCAGGAGACAGACACACACACCCCACCACCUUUGAGAAGAAGAAUGUAGGUCAGCAUCUCUGCCACUACUCCAUGUGAAACGGCCUAUGCUCCUGGCAGAAACCAGUAACCACAAGCCCAGCCCAGCCCCCUAAAAAUCCCACCGCCUUCCCAGAGCUCUCAGCUUCAGCGAGAAAAGGACUUUCUUCCUGCUGUCUGCUCCCAGGCUGUCUGCAUUACAUUUAAGACUCCACUGACAAACGUACAUCAGCCUGUGCUCCCACAAGGGCAGCGGAAGCCAAGCAGGGACUCGAAGUCAGCUUCACGCAUCGUUGACGGAACCAACCCUGUUCCAAUUGCUGAAGUCUUAAGAGCAGCAAUGACCUAGAAAUUGACAGUGGGGGGAGAACCAAAGGGAAGUAAAACGAACUAACCAGUACACAGAAAACCCGAUUUCCUAAUACCAGGGGAAAGGGAGAGGAGGCAGAGGGGGGAAGAAAUUUGGCCUCUUUGAAUCUGCAAACGCAAUCUUGGCUCAGUGCCAUAGAGGAUACACAGCAGCCCCAAUGCGAGUCAAGCCAUGUUCCCGACUCCAGCCCUACAGUUAAGAGGAAGGCGCCAAGCCUCAAACAGAACAAGGUCGCUCCUCUUUGGGCAGGAUCCUACUGUGGACACAGAACAGACAGCAGCUGCCCACAGUGUGGAAACAACCUGUAAAGCGGUCACGUCUCUUAAGGCUGCAGCAUCCAAUAAAACGUAAUUUAAAUCAAGCCUCGCAUCUGUUCUCAAUCCCAUUCAGCCUCUGCUUUCCAUCAGCCUUCGGACAAUCUCUGCAAUUACG